GCCUGGGUGGCUCAGUCGGUUGAGCGUCCGACUUUGGCUCAGGUCACGAUCUCACAGUUCGGUUCGUGAGUUCGAGCCCCACAUCAGGCU
RNAcentral lists this transfer RNA (90 nucleotides) under Felis catus (domestic cat). It matches the Rfam family "tRNA". From Rfam's summary of the family: Transfer RNA (tRNA) molecules are approximately 80 nucleotides in length. Their secondary structure includes four short double-helical elements and three loops (D, anti-codon, and T loops). The record is from Rfam by way of RNAcentral. Lineage: Eukaryota; Metazoa; Chordata; Mammalia; Carnivora; Felidae.